RNAcentral lists this ribosomal RNA (500 nucleotides) under uncultured bacterium. RNAcentral describes it as "partial 16S ribosomal RNA". It matches the Rfam family "Bacterial small subunit ribosomal RNA", at positions 30 to 523 of the family's 1533-position model. The record is from RNAcentral.
AUUGAACGCUGGCGGCAGGCCUAACACACGCAAGUCGAGCGGUAGAGAGAAGGUUGCUUCUCUUGAGAGCGGCGGACGGGUGAGUAAUGCCUAGGAAUCUGCCAGGUAGUGGGGGAUAACGUUCGGAAACGGACGCUAAUACCGCAUACGUCCUACGGGAGAAAGCAGGGGACCUUCGGGCCUUGCGCUAUCAGAUGAGCCUAGGUCGGAUUAGCUAGUUGGUGAGGUAAUGGCUCACCAAGGCGACGAUCCGUAACUGGUCUGAGAGGAUGAUCAGGCACACUGGAACUGGGACACGGUCCAGACUCCUACGGGAGGCAGCAGUGGGGAAUAUUGGACAAUGGGCGAAAGCCUGAUCCAGCCAUGCCGCGUGUGUGAAGAAGGUCUUCGGAUUGUAAAGCACUUUAAGUUGGGAGGAAGGGUUGUAGAUUAAUACUCUGCAAUUUUGACGUUACCGACAGAAUAAGCACCGGCUAACUCUGUGCCAGCAGCCGCCGUAA